AGAGAAAAAUAAUCUUAUGGAUGAAUUUGAGAACAAGAAUACUAUGAAUAUCCAUAUUACUAACAACAACAACAACAACAACAACAACAACAACAACAACAACAACAACAAAAACAACAACAACAGCAACAACAACAACAACAACAACAACAGCAAUAUUAUAAAUACUAAUAGUAUGUAUUUUAAUAAUAAUUACAAUAACAACAAUUACAGUAGUAACAACAACAACUACAAUAGUAACAACUACAAUAGUAACAACAAAUUAAAUGAAAAUGAAUUGUAUUUGAAAGAAAGCAGUAAAAACAUUAUGGACAUUCUAAAAACAUUCAACUCAAAUAAUGAUUUAGGACAUGAAUCAUUGGAACAGCAAUUAAACAGAAACAAUAAUACGCUACCUAUUAUAAAUAAUAGCAACAACAUUAAAUCAAAUAUUAUGAAUAACGAAAUGGUAUUUAAGAACAAUCAAAAGUAUAACUCUAUAGAUAAUAUUAUGUACAAAAAAAAAUUUAUUAAUAAUUAUAUAAAUGAAAAAGGAAACAACAAUAACAAUGUAGACUACGCAUUUAUAAAUAAUAAAAAAAUUGUUAAUAAUAAUCUUAACCAAAACUAUGCUACUACGAACAACAACACGAGAUAUAACAAUAACAUUAAUUUUAACAACAAUAAUGAUUAUACUACUACUAAUAAUAAUAAUUAUAAUAGUAACAACUUUAACCGAAUGACUGGUGGUAACUAUUACUACAACAACCAUAUUAACAACAACAAUAUUAACAACAACAAUAUUAACAACAACAAUAUUAACAACAAUAUUAACAACCAUAUUAACAACAAUAUUAACAACAAUAAUAUUAACAACAAUAAUAUUAACAACAAUAUUAACAACAAUAAUAUUAACAACAACAAUACUAACAACAAUAUUAACAAUAACAAUAGUAACAAAAGUUACUAUAAUAACAAUUUUAUAGGUGGGUUAUCUUCUUCUAAUAACAAUUCGGAGCAAUAUAAAAACAAAAAUGAUAAUUCAAGCAAUAUAAAUAUUACACCUAUUAUUAAUUCGUUGCUACGUUUAAAUAGUGAACAAGAAUAUAACAAUAACAAUAUUUUAUUUAAUAACACAGAACAGUCUAUAUCAGACAAUAUACAAAAUGCUAAAGUAAAUAAUGUAUUAGAAUCUUUAAAAUCGUUAUUGAAAGCCUCAAAAAAUGAAAGCAAUUACAAUCCGAAUAUUAAUAAUAUGAAAACUCAUAAAAAAGGCAACAACAACAACAACUUGAAUACGAGCAUGAACAUGAACAUGAACAUAAACACGCACUUGAACACGAACUUGAACACGAACUUGAACACGAACUUGAACACGAACUUGAACACAAACUUGAACACAAACUUGAAUACGAACUUGAAUACGAAUUUGAAUACGAAUUUGAAUACGAAUAUGAAUAUGAACAGAAGUUAUACCAAUUUAAAAAACAAUAGUAAGGGAAGUAACAAGUUUAAUAAUUACUAUAACCAACAAUACUAUUCUCAGUAUACACAGGAUUACAAGUUCCCACCAUUCAAUGAUUUUAAUAAAAAAAACUUUCCAAAAAAGGAUAAACACAAUGCUAAAUAUAUGGACUCGGACUUCGCAACAAGUGAAACGUUAAUGGUAAUGAGAGGAGCCGACCCACAUGUGCGUACCUACUUUUGACUGUGUUUUUUUCGUAUGUAUUUACAUGUACUUUUUUGUGUUCUUGUACAUGAUAAUGUGCGUUCGUUUCGCUUCACUUUACCACAUUGCUUCCCUUUUUAAUUUUUAUUUUUAUUUAUUUAUUUUUUUUUGCAUACGUAU
Molecule: long non-coding RNA, 1828 nt
Organism: Piliocolobus tephrosceles (Ugandan red Colobus)
Lineage: Eukaryota; Metazoa; Chordata; Mammalia; Primates; Cercopithecidae
Source: Ensembl